GAUGACUCUCGGCAACGGAUAUCUAGGCUCUCGCAUCGAUGAAGAACGUAGCGAAAUGCGAUACUUGGUGUGAAUUGCAGAAUCCCGUGAACCAUCGAGUCUUUGAACGCAAGUUGCGCCCGAGACCCGUCGGGUCGAGGGCACGCCUGCCUGGGCGUCACGC
RNAcentral lists this ribosomal RNA (163 nucleotides) under Acorus tatarinowii. RNAcentral describes it as "5.8S ribosomal RNA". It matches the Rfam family "5.8S ribosomal RNA". From Rfam's summary of the family: 5.8S ribosomal RNA (5.8S rRNA) is a component of the large subunit of the eukaryotic ribosome. It is transcribed by RNA polymerase I as part of the 45S precursor that also contains 18S and 28S rRNA. Lineage: Eukaryota; Viridiplantae; Streptophyta; Magnoliopsida; Acorales; Acoraceae. The record is from RNAcentral.